CCAAUGUCUUUCCUUAAAUCAUGGGAUGGAUCCCACAUAAUAAAAAGAAUUAGACCCCAAUUAUUAGCGACUGAAACUGUAGUUUUAAAAUUUAGAACUCAUAAAUUAAAAGUAUGGCUAUGCCUACGGGCACACCAAUACCUUGAUGGAAAUACUAGCUCUAUGCCACACCAUGAGCUUCGCCCAACACUGUGGAUUCACCAGCCUGGAAAUCACAAUGGACGUAGAGGAGGUAAUUAAUUUCAUUUAGAACGAUCAUCCACUAUAUUCUGAUAUUAUUCUAAUCAUGACAAACUGAUUAUAUAUUCUGUUGACAAUCACAUCAGAGUCAAAUACAUAAUAUCUCAAUUUUUAAAUUUUAAUUCCAGGAAGACAAGCUAGUCUCAUUCUUUAGCUUUCUUGGGAGACUUCAUCACAUUGAUGACAUAGCGACCAACACCAAGAACCAACAGAGCAACCAGGGUCAUGUUUAUCACUUCCUUUCGCAUCUUCAGCUUUGCGAACAAAUCACC
This 512-nucleotide long non-coding RNA is filed under the name Nicotiana benthamiana. Its description in RNAcentral is "long non-coding RNA (NBEN_LNC029553)". The record is from RNAcentral. Lineage: Eukaryota; Viridiplantae; Streptophyta; Magnoliopsida; Solanales; Solanaceae.